This 383-nucleotide unclassified non-coding RNA is filed under the name Hevea brasiliensis (rubber tree). The record is from RNAcentral. Lineage: Eukaryota; Viridiplantae; Streptophyta; Magnoliopsida; Malpighiales; Euphorbiaceae.
UGUACAAAUGCAUAUUACCCUAGGAUUGUUCAAGAAUUUUACAGAACUAUGAGAACAGUUGAUGAUGAGGACAGAUUUGAAAUGAUUUUGAAUAACAGUUUAUAUGAUGUAUCUGUUGAACUGAUAGCUACGGCUUUGAAAUUGCCCAAUGAUGGAAAUAAAAUUUCCACACAUAAGGAUGUUGCUAGGAUGGCAGGCUUUAAUUUGGUUAAGUUUGAAAAAGGUGCUUAGAGCAAUUUACUAUGGUUAUUUGAGUCACUUGGAUAUGUGUAUCAUGUGGCACAUUGUUAACAAAGUGAAAAUAAAUUUGGCAUAUUAGAUUUUUAAGAACAUGUGCAAAGCUUAUGGAUUUGGAAAAUUGCCUUAUGCACAUCUCUUGACUG